CCUACGGGAGGCUGCAGUGGGGAAUAUUGCACAAUGGGGGAAACCCUGAUGCAGCGACGCCGCGUGAGUGAAGAAGUAUUUCGGUACGUAAAGCUCUAUCAGCAGGGAAGAAAAUGACGGUACCUGACUAAGAAGCACCGGAUAACUACGUGCCAGCAGCCGCGGUAAUACGUAGGGGGCAAGCGUUAUCCGGAUUUACUGGGUGUAAAGGGAGCGUAGACGGCAGCGCAAGUCUGGAGUGAAAUCCCAUGGCUUAACCAUGGAACUGCUUUGGAAACUGUGCGGCUAGAGUGCAGGAGAGGUAAGCGGAAUUCGUGGUGUAGCGGUGAAAUGCGUAGAUAUUAGGAGGAACACCAGUGGCGAAGGCGGCUUACUGGACUGUAACUGACGUUGAGGCUCGAAAGCGUGGGGAGCAAACAGGAUUAGAUACCCCAGUAGUC
RNAcentral lists this ribosomal RNA (440 nucleotides) under uncultured bacterium. RNAcentral describes it as "partial 16S ribosomal RNA". It matches the Rfam family "Bacterial small subunit ribosomal RNA", at positions 338 to 795 of the family's 1533-position model. The record is from RNAcentral.